Molecule: ribosomal RNA, 1097 nt
Filed under: Trichoderma sp. B1B0723EM2CC694
Lineage: Eukaryota; Fungi; Ascomycota; Sordariomycetes; Hypocreales; Hypocreaceae
Description: eukaryotic LSU rRNA
Rfam family: Eukaryotic large subunit ribosomal RNA (bases 527-1097)
Source: RNAcentral
UUACAACUCCCAAACCCAAUGUGAACGUUACCAAACUGUUGCCUCGGCGGGAUCUCUGCCCCGGGUGCGUCGCAGCCCCGGACCAAGGCGCCCGCCGGAGGACCAACCAAAACUCUUAUUGUAUACCCCCUCGCGGGUUUUUUUUAUAAUCUGAGCCUUCUCGGCGCCUCUCGUAGGCGUUUCGAAAAUGAAUCAAAACUUUCAACAACGGAUCUCUUGGUUCUGGCAUCGAUGAAGAACGCAGCGAAAUGCGAUAAGUAAUGUGAAUUGCAGAAUUCAGUGAAUCAUCGAAUCUUUGAACGCACAUUGCGCCCGCCAGUAUUCUGGCGGGCAUGCCUGUCCGAGCGUCAUUUCAACCCUCGAACCCCUCCGGGGGGUCGGCGUUGGGGAUCGGCCCUGCCUUGGCGGUGGCCGUCUCCGAAAUACAGUGGCGGUCUCGCCGCAGCCUCUCCUGCGCAGUAGUUUGCACACUCGCAUCGGGAGCGCGGCGCGUCCACAGCCGUUAAACACCCAACUUCUGAAAUGUUGACCUCGGAUCAGGUAGGAAUACCCGCUGAACUUAAGCAUAUCAAUAAGCGGAGGAAAAGAAACCAACAGGGAUUGCCCCAGUAACGGCGAGUGAAGCGGCAACAGCUCAAAUUUGAAAUCUGGUCCCCAGGGCCCGAGUUGUAAUUUGUAGAGGAUGCUUUUGGUGAGGUGCCGCCCGAGUUCCCUGGAACGGGACGCCACAGAGGGUGAGAGCCCCGUCUGGCUGGCCGCCGAGCCUCUGUAAAGCUCCUUCGACGAGUCGAGUAGUUUGGGAAUGCUGCUCAAAAUGGGAGGUAUAUGUCUUCUAAAGCUAAAUAUUGGCCAGAGACCGAUAGCGCACAAGUAGAGUGAUCGAAAGAUGAAAAGCACCUUGAAAAGAGGGUUAAAUAGUACGUGAAAUUGUUGAAAGGGAAGCGCUUGUGACCAGACUUGGGCGCGGCGGAUCAUCCGGGGUUCUCUCCGGUGCACUUCGCCGCGUCUAGGCCAGCAUCAGUUCGUCGCGGGGGAAAAAGGCUUCGGGAACGUGGCUCCUCCGGGAGUGUUAUAGCCCGUUGCAUAAUACCCUGCGG